This 445-nucleotide ribosomal RNA is filed under the name uncultured bacterium. RNAcentral describes it as "bacterial SSU rRNA". It matches the Rfam family "Bacterial small subunit ribosomal RNA", at positions 217 to 662 of the family's 1533-position model. The record is from RNAcentral.
GGUAUGGGAUGAGCUUGCGUCCGAUUAGCUAGUUGGCGGGGCAACGGCCCACCAAGGCGACGAUCGGUAGCCGGCCUGAGAGGGUGAUCGGCCACAUUGGGACUGAGAUACGGCCCGGACUCCUACGGGAGGCAGCAGUAGGGAAUAUUGCACAAUGGGGGAAACCCUGAUGCAGCAACGCCACGUGUGGGAAGAAGCAUUUCGGUGUGUAAACCACUGUCGUGAGGGAAUAAGGCUAUUUUUCGGAGUAGUUGAAUGUACCUCGAGAGGAAGCACCGGCAAACUUCGUGCCAGCAGCCGCGGUAAUACGAGGGGUGCAAGCGUUGUUCGGAAUCACUGGGCGUAAAGGGAGCGCAGGCGGAAGCUCAAGCGGAUUGUACAAUACCGGGGCCCAACCCCGGACCUGCAGUCCGAACUGGGUUUCUUGGAUAGUUCAGGGGCAGGC